Molecule: ribosomal RNA, 482 nt
Filed under: uncultured bacterium
Lineage: Bacteria
Description: partial 16S ribosomal RNA
Rfam family: Bacterial small subunit ribosomal RNA
Source: RNAcentral
AUUGAACGCUGGCGGCAUGCUUUACACAUGCAAGUCGAACGGUAACAGGCUGCAAGGUGCUGACGAGUGGCGAACGGGUGAGUAAUGCAUCUGAACGUGCCCAGUCUUGGGGGAUAACUACUCGAAAGAGUAGCUAAUACCGCAUACGAUCUAUGGAUGAAAGCGGGGGACGGUAAGGCCUCGCGCGAUUGGAGCGGCCGAUGUCAGAUUAGGUAGUUGGUGGGGUAAAGGCUCACCAAGGCAACGAUCUGUAGCUGGUCUGAGAGGGCGACCAGCCACACUGGGACUGAAACACCGCCCAGACUCCUACGAGACGCAGCAGUGGCCAACUUUGGACAACGGGCGCAAGCCUGAUACAGCAAUGCCGAGUGCAGGAAGACGGCCUUCGGGUUGUAAACUGCUUUUGUACGGAACGAAACGGCUCCGGUUAAUACCCGGGGUUAAUGACGGUACCGUAAGAAUAAGCACCGGCUAACUACGUG